RNAcentral lists this ribosomal RNA (253 nucleotides) under uncultured bacterium. RNAcentral's name for it is "partial 16S ribosomal RNA". It matches the Rfam family "Bacterial small subunit ribosomal RNA", at positions 524 to 776 of the family's 1533-position model. The record is from RNAcentral.
UACGUAGGGUGCAAGCGUUGUACGGAAUUAUUGGGCGUAAAGAGCUCGUAGGCGGCUUGUCGCGUCUGCUGUGAAAACUCGGGGCUUAACCCCGGGCCUGCAGUGGGUACGGGCAGACUAGAGUGCGGUAGGGGAGACUGGAAUUCCUGGUGUAGCGGUGAAAUGCGCAGAUAUCAGGAGGAACACCGGUGGCGAAGGCGGGUCUCUGGGCCGUAACUGACGCUGAGGAGCGAAAGCGUGGGGAGCGAACAGG